RNAcentral lists this ribosomal RNA (253 nucleotides) under uncultured bacterium. Its description in RNAcentral is "partial 16S ribosomal RNA". It matches the Rfam family "Bacterial small subunit ribosomal RNA", at positions 524 to 776 of the family's 1533-position model. The record is from RNAcentral.
UACGGAGGGGGUUAGCGUUGUUCGGAAUUACUGGGCGUAAAGCGUACGUAGGCGGAUUAGUAAGUUGGGGGUGAAAUCCCGGGGCUCAACCCCGGAACUGCCUCCAAAACUACUAGUCUUGAGAUCGUGAGAGGUGAGUGGAAUUCCGAGUGUAGAGGUGAAAUGCGUAGAGAUGCGGAGGAACAUCAGUGGCGAAGGCGGCUCACUGGCACGAUACUGACGCUGAGGUACGAAAGUGUGGGGAGCAAACAGG